Molecule: small RNA, 70 nt
Filed under: Arabidopsis thaliana (thale cress)
Lineage: Eukaryota; Viridiplantae; Streptophyta; Magnoliopsida; Brassicales; Brassicaceae
Description: ATSL306230
Source: RNAcentral
AGACAUGUCAAAUCUGCAGAGAUGAGAUCGAAUUGACUGUUGAUGGAGAACCGUUUGUGGCAUGUAACGA